This 400-nucleotide ribosomal RNA is filed under the name uncultured bacterium. RNAcentral describes it as "bacterial SSU rRNA". It matches the Rfam family "Bacterial small subunit ribosomal RNA", at positions 30 to 416 of the family's 1533-position model. The record is from RNAcentral.
CGAACGCUGGCGGCGUGCUUAACACAUGCAAGUCGAACGGAUCCCAAUCAGUAGCAAUACUGAGGAAGGGUUAGUGGCGAACGGGUGAGUAACACGUGAGAAACCUAUCCUGGUCUCUGGGAUAACAGUCCGAAAGGACCGCUAAUACCGCAUACGUUCCCUGGGACCUCGGUCCUGGGGAGGAAAGGCCCGCAAGGGCCACUGGAUGAGGGGCCUGCGUAGCAUCAGCUAGUUGGUGGGGUAAUGGCCUACCAAGGCGAAGACGCUUAGCUGGUCUGAGAGGAUGAUCAGCCACACUGGGACUGAGACACGGCCCAGACUCCUACGGGAGGCAGCAGUGGGGAAUAUUGGACAAUGGGCGCAAGCCUGAUCCAGCCACGCCGCGUGAGUGAUGAAGGCC